Molecule: long non-coding RNA, 644 nt
Organism: Lycium barbarum (goji berry)
Lineage: Eukaryota; Viridiplantae; Streptophyta; Magnoliopsida; Solanales; Solanaceae
Exons: 3
Source: RefSeq, a predicted model, not a curated record
CGCCGCCACUGUUCACGGGCACUGUUCACGGCCAGCCCAUUUUUGCCCCCUUCUACACAAUUAAUUGGAGAGAUUUGAAGAUCAAGAGGAGGAAAAAGAUGGAGCUCAUGGUAGCCAUGGCAACUCACGGCCAUGGCUUUCUUGAAGACAUUUCAUGGUGAAAAAUUAGAGCUUGUCUCUAAGACCUUGGGGAGCCCGAGGCGUAGAUUUGGAUUAGCUUUAGAUUGGCUAUCUUGGAAGUGCGUUCGAGGUACCGACGACAGGUUUGCUGAUCCGUCCGUCUAGGAUUUUUUUCUGCCAUUUGGAGCGCUCUUUUAUUCAGAGCCCAUCUUUUGGUACAGUCUGUCACUACUGUAUUUAUAUAUUCUCGUUCAUGGGUACGGCGGGGCCCUGUCCCGUCAUAUGAUUCUGUCGGUCUGUUUAGAGGUCUGUAGACAUGUUUGUGGGUUGGGGUCUUUCUGUACGGAUGCGUGUAUAUGUUGUGUUUGGGCGAUCCCAUUCGCCGCGGCGGCCGGUCCGCAUAUGUUUAAAUGUUGCUUUGUUGGCCCUGGGUGGUCAUUGUUGGUAUUAUCUGUGCGCAGGGUUAAUUUGGAUAGUCUGUAAAACAAAGGAAACUCUGCCGAAAUUUUUCUGGAAAUUAUCUA